AGCGAACGCUGGCGGCAGGCUUAACACAUGCAAGUCGAGCGGGCGUAGCAAUACGUCAGCGGCAGACGGGUGAGUAACGCGUGGGAACAUACCUUUUGGUUCGGAACAACACAGGGAAACUUGUGCUAAUACCGGAUAAGCCCUUACGGGGAAAGAUUUAUCGCCGAAAGAUUGGCCCGCGUCUGAUUAGCUAGUUGGUGAGGUAACGGCUCACCAAGGCGACGAUCAGUAGCNGGUCUGAGAGGAUGAUCAGCCACAUUGGGACUGAGACACGGCCCAAACUCCUACGGGAGGCAGCAGUGGGGAAUAUUGGACAAUGGGCGCAAGCCUGAUCCAGCCAUGCCGCGUGAGUGAUGAAGGCCUUAGGGUUGUAAAGCUCUUUCGCACGCGAAGAUAAAUGACGGUAGCGUGAGAAGAAGCCCCGGCUAACUUCGUGCCAGCAGCCGCUGUAAU
Molecule: ribosomal RNA, 453 nt
Filed under: uncultured bacterium
Lineage: Bacteria
Description: bacterial SSU rRNA
Rfam family: Bacterial small subunit ribosomal RNA
Source: RNAcentral